This is a long non-coding RNA of Octopus bimaculoides (California two-spot octopus), 1081 nucleotides long. RefSeq lists it as uncharacterized. The record is from RefSeq and is a predicted model, not a curated record. Lineage: Eukaryota; Metazoa; Mollusca; Cephalopoda; Octopoda; Octopodidae.
UAUUUUUAUCAGUGGGAACACUUACAUCUAUUAGACUACAAGUAUUUCUUCCCUGACUUUAAUGACUAUGUCUGGUCGAUUAUCCUGAAUCGCUUUGUCGGUGAUGAUUAGAAAAUCCCAAGGGAUAAUGACAUUUGAAAUAUCAGACACUGGCUCACGAUAAUGUACAUACCAGUAAGCAGGAGUGUUGAUUUUGUGUUUAAAUAUUUUCCAAUGUAAAAAUGCUCCUAUCCUAUCGUGGUAAUUUUUGUAUUCGUUUGGUGUCAGCGCAGGACAUUUGAUACAUUGUUUCGUCAAAUGUGCCGCAGAAUCUGCAUUUAUGGUCAGAACUAUUUUGAAGAAGGUUAGCCUGAUAGCUUUUGGUUAGCAAGCUUUGGUCUUGUGUCGUUAAUAUGAAACCUUUAGUCGCUGCUUUCAGUCCUGAGCUUUUCAACCACAGAUGGGUUGUUGCCUGGUCUACAUCAGCAUUUCGGUUUCGACGUAUAUACCGUCCUGAGCUUCGUAGCCAUUGAUGCGUGCGUUUCUGGUCGACAUCAGCUUGUUUGCUACGAGCCACAUACUUGCCAUGCAGAGGUUUCUCUUCCCAUCUGCUAGCUAAUUUUUCAUGUGCUUUUGUCUUUGCAAUUAAUUUUAUUUUCUUUGCAGCAGCAGUUGGCGCAUUUCCUUCAACUUGAUCAAGCUGGUGAGUAUUUAAGAGAUCAGUAGCAAUUUUUUUGCUCUCUUUCAGAAUAGAGUGAAGUUUUUUUCGGUCUUUCAUGUUUUUCAACAUGUUUCAGCAUCCAAUCGUUGGUUGUUUCAAGGUAUUUGGCCAGUCCGAUUGUGAUGGUUUUGUACGUAAGUUCAAGCUGGAUAAAGCCUCGAUCUCCCUGAGCUCUGGGAAGGUAAAGACGAUCCACGUCUGCCUUUGGAUGGUGCAUCUUAUUAAAAGUCAGUAACAGGCUUUUCGUCACUCACUAAUAUCAGCAAAAUGAAAAGAAGCAAGAUACCACGUAAAUAUUUAAUAAUCUUGGUAAAAGUGCUGACUUCGCAAAAUAACAUUUUCAAUUCUCACGAUGAAGUAAAAUAAAUAUCAUAAAAAUAA